CCUACGGUGGGCAGCAGUGAGGAAUAUUGGUCAAUGGCCGGAAGGCUGAACCAGCCAUGCCGCGUGAAGGUCAGUGCCCUAUGGGCGUUAAACUUCUUUUGUGCGGGAGCAAUAAUGGUCACGUGUGGCCAGACGAGAGUACCGUACGAAUAAGCAUCGGCUAACUCCGUGCCAGCAGCCGCGGUAAUACGGGGGAUGCAAGCGUUAUCCGGAUUUAUUGGGUUUAAAGGGUGCGUAGGCGGGCUGUUAAGUCAGCGGUAAAAGCCCGGGGCUCAACCCCGGCGAGCCGUUGAAACUGGCUGUCUUGAGAUGUCGAGAGGUAUGCGGAAUUCGUGGUGUAGCGGUGAAAUGCUUAGAUAUCACGAAGAACUCCGAUUGCGAAGGCAGCUUACUAAACUGCCACUGACAUUGAUGCUCGAAAGUGUGGGUAUCAAACAGGAUUAGAUACCCGAGUAGUC
Molecule: ribosomal RNA, 458 nt
Filed under: uncultured bacterium
Lineage: Bacteria
Description: partial 16S ribosomal RNA
Rfam family: Bacterial small subunit ribosomal RNA
Source: RNAcentral